This 1056-nucleotide ribosomal RNA is filed under the name Triticum aestivum (bread wheat). RNAcentral describes it as "partial small subunit ribosomal RNA". Lineage: Eukaryota; Viridiplantae; Streptophyta; Magnoliopsida; Poales; Poaceae. The record is from RNAcentral.
AUGGAGAACACCUGCAUAAGCUUCACCGCCGUAGCGCGCUCGGCGCGGAUGCUCAAGAUCGACGGCUUCAGCCUGACCGAGAGCAUGGACCACGACGACUGCGUCAGAUCCAGGUGGACCUUCGACGGGUACGAGUGGGAGGUCCGCGUCUACCCAGCGAUGACCAGCUCUGCCGGCGGUGGGGGCGGCGCCUACGUGGUGCUGGAGGUGGCCUUCCUCAGCAAGCCCCGCAAGGGCAGCGUGAGGGCGGCCAUAGGCUGCCGGCUGGUCGACCCGAGAGGGAUACUCAAACCGUCCAAUGAAAUCAGUAUCUCAAAGGUGUUCAGUCGCCCCCAGGAAUGCUCGACCAAGGCGGCUGUCGUCGGGCGGCGCGCGCUGGCGGCAUCGGCGUUUCUCCGGGGCGAUUCCUUCACUAUGGAAUGCACCAUUGAGGUUCUGAAGGAGCUGCCUGAUACGGUGACAGACCCUGUCGAAGAGGUGCCGGUGCCAUCCUCAAACUUGGGCCGGCACCUGGCUCUACUCCUGCAGAGCGAGGCCGGGGCAGACGUCACGUUCCUCGUGUCCGGCGAGUCCUUUGCCGCGCAUAAGAGCAUACUGGCCGCGAGGUCUCCGGUUUUCAUGGCUCAGUUCUUUGGAGACAUGAGGGAGAAAUGCUCACAGAGUGUGGUGAUCGAGGACAUGGAGGCUGCGGUGUUCAAGGCCCUGCUUCACUACAUCUACACUGAUACUGUGGCUGAAUUCGACGAGAAGGGUGAGGAGAUGACAAUGUUAGCCCAGCACUUGCUUGCAGCUGCUGACAGAUACGGGCUCGACAGGCUCAAGCUGAUCUGCGAAGGCAAGCUCUCUGAUGGCAUCAAUGUUGACACUGCAGCAACGUCUCUGGCUCUAGCCGAGCUGCACAACUGUCCACGGCUCAAGGCGAAGUGCGUCCAGUUCAUCAUUAGAAAUCGUGAGGUUCUUGAUGCUGUGUUGGCAACGGAGGGGUACAAGUACCUGGCGGCAAGCUGCCCUUCGGUGCUGGCUGACCUUCUCAAGUCGAGCCUGCGCGUCGGAUAA